This 796-nucleotide long non-coding RNA is filed under the name Pongo abelii (Sumatran orangutan). RNAcentral's name for it is "lincRNA". The record is from RNAcentral. Lineage: Eukaryota; Metazoa; Chordata; Mammalia; Primates; Hominidae.
ACUUAACCUCUCCGAGUCUCUGUAAAAUGGAGGGAAAAAUUGCUUCUCAGGAAGAGUGGUUAAAUACUUGAAAGAGGCAAUGUAACUGUCUUAUGCGUAGAGCAUAGUAGGUGCUUAACAAACAGUAGCUGAUUUCUGGCAUUAUAAUUAGAUGAGGGGAAGGUCCCUCCUAGCACAGACCCUGGAAGAUUCUAUGACUCGGGGAGUGGGCAGAUUGCAUCCAUGGUCCCUGCCCUCAUUUGUAGCUACCUGAAGGGCCUGUCUCAGCAAUAAAAACAGCCAAGUGAGCACAGGCAGAGAAACAUCAUUUCCUCCUCCUCUUGAGGGCAGGAGUCCAGGCGCAGCCCCAGCAGCAGGUUGGAAUAAGUGCAGAUGCUGCAAAUUGAUGGAGGCCUGGUGUCUUCCAGAGUGGAGAUAAAGGCUGGCUGAGGAAUCAGUGAGGCCAGGAAGAGGGCUCAGCUGAGCAAUUGAUCAAAGUAUCCCUCUUCAGGAAGGAGCUUCCUGUGUUUUCUCUGGGGACUCGCCUGUUUUCCACUCCAGACUCUCCAAGAUAUGCAGAGCUUUGGGCGAGGAUCCUACAGCCACAGGUCAUGCAGAGCCGGUUGGCCACAUCCUUUGGGCCAAAUUUGGUCCUAACCAGGGCUUAGUGCAGUAACUGCUAACCAGUCCAUCUUCAGUUAAUAUUUCAUGCGAAUUGUUGAACAUCUUACAAUUUAAUCCAGAAGCUAUGUCCUUUAAGGAACCUUCCCUGAGCCUGUGAGCUUUAUUGUGGGUUGGGGGUGAAGGAGUGGACCUU